This 165-nucleotide unclassified non-coding RNA is filed under the name uncultured fungus. RNAcentral describes it as "sequence contains ITS1". The record is from RNAcentral. Lineage: Eukaryota; Fungi.
GCCGUAAGACGCAUUCGUUUGGAAAGGGAGAUAUCAUACACCCUGUGUUUAUUUACCUUUGUUGCUUUGGCGGCCGUCCUUUUAGGCGUCGGCCCCGGCUGAUCGCGCCCGCCAGAGGACCCAAACUCUUUUAUCAGUGAUGUCUGAGUACUAUAUAAUAGUUAA